RNAcentral lists this transfer RNA (72 nucleotides) under Camelus bactrianus (Bactrian camel). It matches the Rfam family "tRNA". From Rfam's summary of the family: Transfer RNA (tRNA) molecules are approximately 80 nucleotides in length. Their secondary structure includes four short double-helical elements and three loops (D, anti-codon, and T loops). Further hydrogen bonds mediate the characteristic L-shaped molecular structure. tRNAs have two regions of fundamental functional importance: the anti-codon, which is responsible for specific mRNA codon recognition, and the 3' end, to which the tRNAs corresponding amino acid is attached (by aminoacyl-tRNA synthetases). tRNAs cope with the degeneracy of the genetic code in two manners: having more than one tRNA (with a specific anti-codon) for a particular amino acid; and 'wobble' base-pairing, i.e. permitting non-standard base-pairing at the 3rd anti-codon position. The record is from Rfam by way of RNAcentral. Lineage: Eukaryota; Metazoa; Chordata; Mammalia; Artiodactyla; Camelidae. RNAcentral also lists the same sequence under 2 other names.
AAGGGUGUAGCUCAGUGGCAGAGCACGUGCUUGGCAUGCACGAGGUCCUGGGUUCAAUCCCCAGUACCUCCA